UUAUUGAUAUGCUAAGUCAGCGGGUAGUCCUACUGAUUUGAGGUCAGAGUUCAAAUGGUCCUAACCUGCGCGUUCGUCGGCCUCACGACCGACUAGAAUUAAGGCUGGGGUCCAAGAUCAAGCCUCGCGCGUUCGUCAGUCUCACGACCGACUAGUAACUGAGGUAUAGAUUAGAAGCAUUCAUGCAUUAAAAGUCGUAACAAGGUUUCCGUAGGUGAACCUGCGGAAGGAUCAUU
RNAcentral lists this ribosomal RNA (236 nucleotides) under Boletus aestivalis. Its description in RNAcentral is "partial 18S ribosomal RNA". Lineage: Eukaryota; Fungi; Basidiomycota; Agaricomycetes; Boletales; Boletaceae. The record is from RNAcentral.